ACUAUAUAUAUAUAUAUAUAUAUAUAUAUAUAUAUAUAGAGAGAGAGAGAGAGAGAGAGAGAGAGAGAGAGAGAGAGAGAGAGAGAGAGCGCUAGGCUACUAUACUAUCGGUAGCACGGAGCGCUCCGUGCUACCAAGUUGUUUUCGAUGAUGCGGCUUCCAAAUCGACGAUCGGCUCCGUUAGAGUUGAUCUACACUAUUGAAAGUAUUUAUAAACUAAAUUUCAUAAUUUUUUGAUAUCAUUUACCUAUCAAACAAGUAGUCUAAAAUUGAACGGCUGAAAAUAAAAAUCUCAUAAAAAAUGAUGACAAAAGAUUUAAAUUCAAGAUCAGAUAUACUGAUCUUACUCUAAAUAGUGAAAAAAAUUUUCUAUAAAAUUUUCAUCGCAUUUGAAUUGUUUUACACCGUUAAACUCACAAACACACCACAUUGGCCAUUAAAAUUAUCAAUUUUGAGAUCUUUUGAUCACUAGUCAAAUGAUGUCGAAAAAAUUUAAAAUUUAGUUUCCAAAUACUUUCAAUAGUGUAGAUCAAGUCUAACAGAGCCGAUCGUCGAUUUGGAAGCCGCAUCAUCGAAAACAACUCGGUAGCACGGAGCGCUCCGUGCUACCGAUAGCAUAGUAGCCGGACUCUAUAGAGCUAGGCUACUAUACUAUCGGUAGCACGGAGAGCUAUAAUAUUAUUGAUAGAAAAAGAUUCUUUUUAUUAUUAAAUUUUUAGCUUUUGGAUUAAUUCUUUUUAUCAUUUCUAACCAUUGGAUUAAAUAUUAUAAUCCAAUGGGGACUACUCAACUCUAGAGGGACCACUCAAUCCUAAAAUUAAAAACUUAAUAGAAAAAAAAGCCUUUUGCUAUCUAUAACAGAAGAUCCCCCGUCCACAUUAAAUACCUGCAUACAACGUUGUUGGCCAGGGACAUGAGCUUGAGGCUAAUGUUGACCGGCAUUUGCUGAGCCGCCACACCAGCGAUGUCCUUCAAAAACUCUCACGACCACGAGGUCUAUCUGUAUUGAGUAUGAAUGAUUUAUUAAAACAUUAAUAUUAUUUCUAUCUACUUAGAACUUUUAGAACCAGCUUGGUUCGAAUUAUAAGCGGGGAUAACGAAAAUUGUCUCUACUAUCCGUCAAACGGAAUGAUCUUUUACCGGGAUAUUUUAUCUCGGUCAAGUCUUGCUAUUUUCGGUUAUUUCGAAAUAGCUUAAAAUUUACUAUUCCAUCGCUUUAGUAGAAUAGUGCUAUUCUAAUAUUUCAUUUCAAACUUAAUUAAAAUUAUAAAUUGAAUUAAAAAUAAAUUAUAUAAAUAAAAUAUGUUAUAUAUUAUAAUACAUUAUUUUUAUUAUAAAAUUAUUAAUUGUAUUAUAUUAAUACAUAUUAUUUAUAUUUAAAUAUUAUAAUAAAUUUUAUAAUAAAUUAUUUUUUAAAAUUUAAGUUUAAGUGGAAUUUUAAAACCGUGUAGAUCUCUCUAGCAUCUCAAGAUUUUGGAUAAUAAUGAUUGUUUGGGAAC
This 1499-nucleotide long non-coding RNA is filed under the name Ananas comosus (pineapple). RNAcentral describes it as "long non-coding RNA (ACOM_LNC002272)". The record is from RNAcentral. Lineage: Eukaryota; Viridiplantae; Streptophyta; Magnoliopsida; Poales; Bromeliaceae.